Molecule: long non-coding RNA, 8073 nt
Organism: Callithrix jacchus (white-tufted-ear marmoset)
Lineage: Eukaryota; Metazoa; Chordata; Mammalia; Primates; Cebidae
Source: RefSeq, a predicted model, not a curated record
GGCCGAGGCGGGUGGAUCACGAGGUCAAGAGAUCGAGACCAUCCUGGUCAAGUUGGUGAAACCCCGUCUCUACUAAAAGUACAAAAAAUUAGCUGGGCAUAGUGGCACGUGCCUGUAAUCCCAGCUACUCAGGAGGCUGAGGCGGGAGAAUUGCCUGAACCGAGGAGGCGGAGGUUGCGGUGAGCCGAGAUCGCGCCAUUGCACUCCAGCCUGGGUAAACAAGAGCGAAACUCCGUCUCGGGGCGUGGGGGGAGCCGGGCGUGGUGGGCAUGCCUGUAAUCUCAGCUACUAAAGAGGCUAAGGCACGAGAAUCGCUUGGGCCCGGGAGGGGGAGGUUGCAGUGAGCCGAGAUAGCGCCACUGCACUCCCCAGCCUGGGCAGUAGAGACUGCCUCAAAAAAUAAAUAAAUAACUAAAAAGAACGAAAAGAGCAAGCAGGACCGUGCGUGACAACACUCACCCACGGGCCGGUGGAGGAACCAAGGGCUGCCGGGGAGCGCUAUCACAUUGAAGGAUGGGUGCCCAUUUCACGUGAACUGCCCCAGGGAACAGGGAAGAGGGUGGAAAGCCAGAACCUCCCGGGCUUUCUGAGGACCUUCAAGCCCAAGGGCAGUGGGGCGGGGCUAGUCUCCGCGGGAUCCCGAGCCUUUUCAACGCUGAGCGCCGGGCGGGCACAGAGCGGCCCGGCACCCCGCGGCUUCCAGCCUCCCAGCACCCCGAAAGCCCGGCGGCCAGAUCGCAGGGGGAUGUGAGCUGCAGAGACAGAGGAAAGGGCCAGCUUUAAUCUCCACGGCCCAGAGAGGGGAUGAGACUAGCCCAAGGUCACACAGUCAGAUCGUGGCGGGGGCAGAACUAGAACUCGGGCCGUAUCUCUUGAUUGCAAGUCUGCUUCUUUUCUUGAUGGAAUUUGAGAAUCAAAGAGGAAUCAAGAUACUGUGGCUGAGGGCUCGCAGCUGGGACGCCGGAUACUCCGGGGAAUUCGUUUUUUUAUAUCUUAUUUUCCCUUUGGGAUUUCCUUUGGGAAUCCUAAGGACGGCGCGGCGGUGGAAACAGGCUCCAGGCACCCUGCCCCCCCAGGCCGUUGUCGCACAGCACCCCCGCCUGCGUCAUUCCAGCUAGGCCUGCGAGUCCUCCGCCCGCCACCAUCUGCCUGGAGUCCCUGCUCUCCGAGGCGGCAGACACAAAGCCUCCGCCUGCUGUUCAGUCUUCACUCAAGCAGGGAGGGUGUGUGGAGGCAGUGGCGGGUCCCGCUCUGGGGCCAGGCGGCCCAAGUUCAAGUCUUUGACCUGAUACUCACUAACUGUGCGAUACUGAGCCUUCACUUUCCCUCUCUGUACUUCCGUUUCUUCAUUUUAAAUUGGUGAAAAGAACAGUGCUUCAUACAGUUGGGUGGGAGGAUUAACAAACACAAGGAGUAUCAAAGCCUUAGUAAGGGGCUUGCCCCACGACAGAGGCCAGUUGGGUGCUUAAUUACCCAUAAAUCUGACAAACCUUUUCCGGAUCCUACAUGAAGCCUGCUGCUUCCAUGAAGUCCACCCAGAUUAACUUCAUUCAGUUUAAAUCCUUCUUGAUUCUCAGUACUUAAAGCAUAAAGGCAUUGUCUAACUGCAAUGGGGUCGCGGGAGCAGGCUUGUGCGUGUGCCCUCCCCUACACCACUAACCUAGAUUCAGAAGGCCUGAGGUUUGUAGUCCUCCCCUCCAAGGGCUGCUACUUGAUUUCGAGUAAAUCGCUUCAUAUUUUUUUAAAUUGUUUUGAGACAGUCUCGAUCUGUCUCCAGGCUGGAGUACAAUGGCGCCAUCUCAGCUCACUGCAACCUCCGCCUCCCGAGUUCAAGCGAUUUUCCUGCCUUGGCCUCCCCCAGUAGCUGGGAACUCGCCACCCAUACUCAGUACAGGCGCUCACCACCAUACUCAGCUAAUUUUUUUGUAUUUUUAGUAGAGACAGGGUUUCACCAUGUUGGCCAGGAUGGUCUAGAUCUGCUGACCUCAUGAUCUGCCCGCCUCGACCCCCCCAAAGUGCUGGGAUUACAGGUGUGAGCCACCAUACCCUGCCAAUUUUUAUUUUUAUUUUUUCGGAAACAGAGUCUGGCUCUGUAGCCCAGCUUGGAGUGCAAUAGUGAGAUCUAGGCUCACUGCAACAUCUGCCUCCCAGGUUCAAGGGCUUCUGCCUCAGCCUCCCAAGUGGCCAGGAUUACAGACUCACACCAUCAAGCCUGGCUAAUUGUUUUGUGUUUUUAGUAGAGCCAGGGUUUCACCAUGUUGGCCAGGCUGGUCUCAAAUUCCUGACCUCAGGUGAUCCACCCGACUCAGCCUCACAAAGUGCUAGGAUUAUGGGUGUGAACCACGGUGCCCAAUACAAAAUGUUUUUCCAAAGCAUAGUUAAUAACUUGGAAAAAUGAUAUCAAUAUAUGGUAUUUAUUUUUCUCUGAAUUUAACUUUUAUGUAAACGUUUUAUUUUAUGUACUUGUAUAUUUUUUGAGAUGGAGUCUCCUCCUGCUGCCCAGGCUGGAGUGCAGGGGCUUGAUCUUGGCUCGCUGCAACCUCCACCUCAUGUGUUCAAGUGAUUCUCCUCCUCAGCCUCCCAAGUAGCUAGGAUUACCGGCACCCACCACCACACCUGGCUAAUUUUUGUAUUUUUAGUAGAGACAGUGUUUUGCUAUGUUGGCCAGGCUGGUUUUGAACUCCUGGCCUCAGAUGAUCCGCCCAUCUUGGCCUCUCAAAGUGCUGGGAUUACAGGCUUGACCCACCUUGCACGACCUAUCCAGCUAAUUUUUCUUUUUUUUUUUUUUACAUGACAUGAAAAUUUUUACUUUCAAAAAGAAUGUAUUUUUUUAUUUUUAUUUUUUAUUUAUUUUUUAUUUUUUUAUUCCCCAGAACCUGAAGUGCAAAAAAAGAAUGUAUUUUUACAUCAAUCUGCAACAGAAUUCAAUUGUAGAAAAAAUAAGCUAUAUUCAGGGAUACAGUGCUCAGCACACCACACCCCCUCCCCAAAGUGAGCUGACACCCUGGCUUCACCAUAUUGGCAAGGCUGGUCUCUACCUCCUGACCUUGUGAUCCACCCACCCCACCUCCCAAAGUGUUGGGACUACAGGCGUGAGCCACCAUGCCUGGCCCUAGCCUUUCAAAGCUCUGGAAUUACAGGCAUAAGUGCCCAGCCUCCCAACUUUGUUUUAAAAAAGUGUAAGUACACUUAAAAAAAGUAAACAUAAGGAAAUCCUCCAACAUGUUAACAGUGUUACACCUGGGAGGGAGGAUUACUAUUGAUUAUCUUCAUCUUAAUUUUUCUAUAUUCUCCAAUUUUUUUCAAAUAAUGUGUUAUUUUUAUACAUAGAAGAAAACUACAAUUAUUGUAAUGGAAAUAUUGAAUAAUAUAUCUGAAAAUAUUUAAGGCUAAACAAAGGCAGGUUAGAUAUCACCUAUGUUUCAGUAAUCAGAAAUCUUUGAGAUUAAAAUUUAGCUUUUUGGGAGUUACACUUAUUAUUGUUGUCUUUUUGGUUUUUUCCUUUUUAUGGAGAACGGGGUCUUGCGAUAUUGCCCAGGCAGGUCUCGAACUCCUGGGCUCAAGCUAUCUCCCGCCUCCGCCUCCCUAAGAGCUGGGAUUACAGGCACGAGCCACUCAGUCAGUCCAUCAUUUCUCUCUGUGAAAGCCUCAUGCAGAGCUCUCUGCUUCCUUGGUUUCACCGGCCUUCUUGGCAUGGCCUUCUUGGCAUGACUUCUUUUAAAGUCAGGCAUGGUUCUCCCAAGGGUACCUUGGACAGUGCUCCACGGGACUGGAGAAGACCCCUGAAAUCCCUGCAGAGUUACCAGGCUACUUAAUUAACUGGCAUUUAAGGGUCUGUAGGCUCUGAACCAAUCUUCCUUACAACUCCCGUGUGUGUCAAUCAAACGGUCUGUCUGCCAUCUCCAAAGCCAGAAAGGGGCAGUAAUGAAUGAAGAGAGCUGCGUGUGAUGUCACUGGGAAAGGUGAGGACUGUGGCAAACUGGAGUAAGCCCACACCUUCAAACGAACGGCCACUUCUCAGUGACAGUCUAUUGCUAUCUGGUGGGGUCUUUCAAUUUUUCAAGAGAAUUGGAAAAGCUGGAUCUUUAUGUGAAGUCUGAUUUUUAAAUAAAUAUUGGCAGGUAAUUCACAAAACACAUUUGUCCACUCUGCUGAUCACAAUUUGCGACGACUUGUCUUAGGAACACAUUGAAUUUUUUUCCCUCUGCACCUUUUCUUUUGCUAUUCCCCAAUGCCAAGAACACUCCCCCACUCAUCUGAGACUAAUGAACUCCAUCUGUUCUGUCAGACCCAGGCAAAACACCACCUCUUCCUGAGCAUCCCCGCAGCCAGAAGUGACAUCGCCCUCCUUGGGGCUGCACCACACAUUUAGCUCUGUGCCUGUCUCACUCUAUGCUACAGUUGUUACAGUAAGAGUCCCAGCUCUCCUGGCAGAGAAUAAGCUCCUGAAAUAAUUCAGAAAACAUUUGUGGAGCACCCGCUAUGGUGCAGAAACCAUGCUAAGCUCUAGUGAUACAGCCUAGAAUAAGAUGGACAUGGUCUUUGCCUUGAUGGAAGACAGUCUAGUGUAGGGGGCAGGUUUUAAAUAAAUAAUUUCCAAGAUACCUAAUUCCAAUUGUGAUGAGGUGUAUGGGGUUAAGAAAGUUUAUAAAAGAGACUUAAUCCAGGCACAGGAGGAUUAAGCAAAUCACGAGGUAGCUUGGGGAAGCAUUAACAGUAGGGCUGCCACAUAAGGUUGUACAGUUUAUAUGUACAACGCCUGGCAACAUAGCAAGACACUGUCUCUAAAAUUAAAAAAAAAAAAAAAGUAGAGUUGAGGUCUCGCUAUGUUGCCCAGCCUGAUCUCAAACUCCUAGCCUCCAGGCCAAGGUGGGAGACCUUGGCCUCCCAAAGUAUCGGGAUUACAGGUGUGAGCCACUGUGCCCAACUCCUUUUUCUAAUCUGCACAAAGGCACUGGAUAGACUAGCAGAGGCAGCGUUUAGUUCACCCCUACCCAAAGCUGUUCUAAAUAACCUUAGAAUCUAAGUAGAAACGGUGACUUCCCCAUGUACAUGCAGCCCAAAGAGAUGUUCCCUGCUCCCCACUUUCUAUGCUAACCCUUAGACCUCUGGGAUCAGGGAACGUACCCACAAGGAAGUGACAUAGGAGCUGAGACUGAAGGAUAAGAAGGGGCCAGCCAGCUUGGAGUAGGAGGAAUAGCAUGUGCAAGGCCUCUGAGGAGAGAAGGUACCAUGGCCAAAGGUGGCCAUUGUGGUAGAAGCAUGGACAGAGAUGGGAGAGCAUUAAGGGGUAGGCUGGGCAGUGACCACCCUGCACAGCCCAGAAAGCCACAUUAAGGGGUGCAAUUCUUAUCCUGAAAUUAUCCCUUCCAUAUUGCACUCCAUAACCACGUCGCUUCUUGGUCUUACUGCCCACGAGAGAGUGUGCACAGUGGUAGAAACUACCACGCAGCACGGACUGCUGGGGCCACACAUUCAUUCUGCCUUUUUUAUUCUCCUGAAGUAACUAUUCUUUGAUUUCCAUGGAACAGAUGAAAAAAUGGAGGCAAAGAGAAGAUAAGCAGCCUGCCUGAGGUUAGCUGACUAUUAACGGGUAGGCUGGGAUCCACUCCCAGGUCUAUGGGACUUCAAGCCCUUUCUCUUGGCUGUCAUGCAGCAAUGAUAUCUAUGAAUAGACCAGAAGUGCAAGGAGUCUACAGCCUUGCCACUCAGAGGCAGGGGGUUCUAAAGGCCUGCAAAACUAUCACCUGGAAGUUUGUCAGAAAUGCAGGAUCUAGGGUUCCAUCCAGCCCUACUGAAUCAGAAUCUACACUUAAAUUUUUUUUUUUUUUUUUUUUUUUUUUUGAGACAGAGUCUCACUCUGUCACUAGGCUGGAGUAAAGUGGUGCGAUCUUGGUUCACUGCAACCUCUGCCUCCCAGGUUCAAGCGAUGAUUCUCCUGCCUCAGCCUCCAGAGUAGUUGGCACUCCAGGCAUAUACCACCAUGCCCAGCUAAUUUUUGUAUUUUUAGUAAAGCCAGGGUUUCACCAUGUUGGCCAGGAUUGUCUCCAUCUCUUGAUCUUGUGAUUCACCCACCUCAGUCUCCCAAAGUGUGGGGAUUACCAGCGUGAGCCACUGUGCCUAGCUAAAAAUUUUUUAAAUCUUUUUUUGUGUGUGUAUGACGGAUCUCACUGCAUUGCCCAGGCUAAUGUAUAGAAGCGCAAACUCAGCUCCCUGUAGUCCCUACCUCCUGGGCUCAAGGGAUCUUCCUGCCUCAGCCUCCCAAGAAGCUGGCACAGGCCUCCAUGCCCAACUAAUUUUUAAAUUUUUCGUAGAGACGGGGAUCUCACCAUGUUGCCCAGGCUGGUCUCAAAUUCCUGAGCUCAAGCAAUCCUCCUGCCUCGGUCUCCCAAAAUGCUGGAAUUACAAGUGUGAGCCACCAUGCCCAGCCAGAAUCUAUACUUUACAGGAAUCAUGUACACAUUAGGAGCUGAGAAGCACUAAACUAGAGAAUAAGCAAAGUGGCAUACCGCCUCUGCAGCCCUUAUGCAACAGCAUCUCAUAUGCCAGGUUUCCAAUGACCCGAAAACAACUUAUUAUAACCAAAUAUACCAGAUUGGCCAACUGUUCCAUCCAUCUAUCCACCCUAGUUUUGUCAUCUAUUGCCACUCCAAGGGAAAAACUGUGAGACGCUACCAUCAACUCCAAAGAGGAGCUGCUGUACACUCCAAAUCAUCUUCCAUUUGGGGGUCUACUCUGAUCCCCAGAUCAUUUUCUGGAACCCACUUUUUACAAAAGAAUUCCCUAUCUUAGCCUGCAUACCAAAGGACGCAGAAUGGUUUGGCAGAAAAGAUUAGUGGGUGAGGAAAUGCAGGGUUCCCCUUCAGCUUUAAGGCCACAUGUGACUUUGGGAAAUGGCCUACCCUCACUUCCCCAUACCCAUGUAAAAUAUGAAUGGGGUGGACUAGACUAGGAAUCACUGUAUAUGAGGCCUGGCAGGGAACAUAAAGGAAACUCAGUGGCCUAGGUGAAGCAGUAGGGACUGGUGCAGACUGUGGCAAACUAGAAGGUGCAAUGCCCUGACUACAAAAAGGUAUCCCCACUCAGAAAUAGGCUAGUGUUAUGGGUAAUGCGUUGCCCUAUAUUCUAAUUUUUUAAGUUGGGAAUCUGAUUUUCCUCCAAGAAAUGAGUGAUGUUUAAGUACUGGCAACUACGAAUAGUUAAAACUUAAGAACAAACACAACACCGUGUGAACCAAAUAAAGAUCAGGCGCAGGCCAGAUCUGUCCGUGGGCCGCCAGUUUGCGAUGCCUGGCCCGGAUGCCACCCUAAUGUUAUGUAUUAGUUUGCCUGUGCGGCUCUUCCCGAAUGCUGCAAAGCGACAGCUGUAGGAUGGGGGUUGAGAGGAGUUCCCUGGAGUCAGCACCUAGAGAAGGAGUGCUCCAAACCUGCUGACCCUCCUUGGUCCAGAGCUGUGGACACUGCUGGUUCUAUGAGUUUGUUUCCCUGGCUCCAGUCUGCCCUGUGCCCUGGAAAUAAGAGGUAAGAAGAGAAAGGAAAAGGAGGCCUGGAUGCCUAGAGAUUUUCCACUUCUAGCAAGAACAUUGUCAAGCAAGAGUUCAACAUACCAUUUCACAGAUGCAGUAACUGAGGUGUUGGCCUCGCCUCACAGAGAGUUUGUAAAGACUAGAAGCCCAGCCCAGGUGACUCCCAUGUGAAGCUUUUCCUAUAUUUAUGUACUAUUUCUCUACUAUUUCUUGACCAGCCUAUAGUGAAUCUCACCUCCUCAAAUGAUAUGGUAUGAAUGUUUGUCCCUGCCAAAUCUCAUAUUGAAAUAUGAUUUCCAUUGUUGGAGGUGGGGCCUGGCAGAAAGUGAUUGGAUCGUGGAGGCAGACUCCUCAUGAAUGGAUUAGCACCAUCCUCUUAGUUCAUGUAAGAUCUGGUUGUUUCAAAGAGUCUGGGACUUCCCCUUCUCUCUCAUGCUCCCACUCUUGCCCUGUGAUGCACCUGCUCCCCUUUGCCUUUCACCAUGAUUGGAAGCUUUCUGAGGCCUCACCAGAAGGAGUUGCAAGCAUUACACUUCUUGCAGAAUUGU